This 137-nucleotide unclassified non-coding RNA is filed under the name soil metagenome. Its description in RNAcentral is "partial internal transcribed spacer 1". The record is from RNAcentral.
CUGAGUACUACACUCUCUACCCUUUGUGAACUAUUAUACCUGUUGCUUCGGCGGCGCCCGCAAGGGUGCCCGCGGUCUCAUCAGAAUCUCUGUUUUCGAACCCGACGAUACUUCUGAGUGUUCUUAGCGAACUGUCA